GCGUUCUUAAGGCUGCAGAGCCCUGGGUCCCCCACCCGGCCCCGGUUCACUUUGAGCGGUCCCAAGGCCUGAGGGCCUACUGUCCAGUCCCCGGGUUAUCGUCCUGAGCAAAGACAGACCCCGAGCCCUGCGGUCUUGGGGCUCAAACAGUCCCUGGAUGGCCAAACAAGCGAAUAUUCGCCAUGGCAGUGGGUGCUGGAAGGGUGGCUCACGGAGCUGACGCCCUCUGCAGAGAACCGUGGUCUAGUCCUGCGGUCACGAGGCCUAUCUGGGACAGUGGUGUUUGAGCUGAGACUUUAACGAAUAGAGACAGGCACUGUGCUAAGCAGUUUUCCUGGAAGUGUCUACCUCAUUUCGUUCGCUGAAUAGCUCUAAGAGUGUGAACAACCCCAGAAGGAAAAAGAGUGCUGUUGUUAAAGGUAUCUGGCAUCGUGGACCCAACCAUCACCAGGAGUUUCUCACUUCAUCUCUGCUUUAUUGUAGUAUAAUUUGCAUACAAUAAUGGCACACAUUUAAUGUGCACAGUGUGAUAAAUUUUGACAUAUGUAUACAUCCAUGAAGCCGGCACCACAAUCAAGAUAAUGAACAUCUCGCUUACCGCAGAAGUUUCCUGUGCCCUCUCACUCCUCCGUAUUCCUCC
This 640-nucleotide long non-coding RNA is filed under the name Pan troglodytes (chimpanzee). RNAcentral describes it as "long non-coding RNA NONPTRT011444". Lineage: Eukaryota; Metazoa; Chordata; Mammalia; Primates; Hominidae. The record is from RNAcentral.